This 62-nucleotide transfer RNA is filed under the name Batracomorphus rinkihonis. RNAcentral's name for it is "tRNA-Ile". Lineage: Eukaryota; Metazoa; Arthropoda; Insecta; Hemiptera; Cicadellidae. The record is from RNAcentral.
AAUAAAGUGCCUGAAAAAGGAUUAUUCUGAUAGAAUAAAUAAUGCAAAAAUUGCCUUUAUUG